RNAcentral lists this ribosomal RNA (330 nucleotides) under uncultured eukaryote. Its description in RNAcentral is "partial 18S ribosomal RNA". It matches the Rfam family "Eukaryotic small subunit ribosomal RNA", at positions 1470 to 1796 of the family's 1831-position model. The record is from RNAcentral.
CCCUUAGAUGUUCGGGGCCGCACGCGCGCUACACUGAAGGAAUCAGCACGUCUUUCUCCUUGUCCGAAAGGACUGGGUAACCCGCUGAACCUCCUUCGUGCUGGGGAUUGGGGCUUGUAAUUCUUCCCCAUGAACGAGGAAUUCCCAGUAAGCGCGAGUCAUAAGCUCGCGUUGAUUACGUCCCUGCCCUUUGUACACACCGCCCGUCGCUACUACCGAUUGGAUGGUUUAGUGAGAUCCUCGGAUUGGUCCCGGCGCGGCCUCUGGUCGUGCCGGAGUGCCGAAAAGAAUGUCGAACUUGAUCAUCUAGAGGAAGUAAAAGUCGUAACA